UACAGAGGUCCCAAGCGUUGUUCGGAUUUACUGGGCGUAAAGGGUGCGUAGGUGGCGAGGUAAGUUUGAUGUGAAAUCUCCGAGCUCAACUCGGAAAUGGCAUUGAAUACUAUCCCGCUUGAGGGUCGGAGGGGAGACUGGAAUUCUCGGUGUAGCAGUGAAAUGCGUAGAUAUCGGGAGGAACACCAGUGGCGAAGGCGACUACCUGGCCUGUUCUUGACGCUGAGGCGCGAAAGCUAGGGGAGCAAACGGG
This 253-nucleotide ribosomal RNA is filed under the name uncultured bacterium. RNAcentral describes it as "partial 16S ribosomal RNA". It matches the Rfam family "Bacterial small subunit ribosomal RNA", at positions 524 to 776 of the family's 1533-position model. The record is from RNAcentral.